Molecule: non-coding RNA, 82 nt
Organism: Eimeria necatrix
Lineage: Eukaryota; Apicomplexa; Conoidasida; Eucoccidiorida; Eimeriidae
Source: Rfam
GGCGGUUUGUCCGAGUGGUUAAGGAGUUGGACUUGAAAUCCAAUGGGCUCUGCCCGCGCAGGUUCGAACCCUGCAGCCGUCG